GCCGCCGUAGCUCAGUCGGUAGAGCGGCUGGCUGUUAACCAGUAGGUCGCCCGUUCGAGUCGGGCCGGCGGCG
RNAcentral lists this transfer RNA (73 nucleotides) under Nitrososphaeria archaeon. Its description in RNAcentral is "tRNA-Asn". It matches the Rfam family "tRNA". From Rfam's summary of the family: Transfer RNA (tRNA) molecules are approximately 80 nucleotides in length. Their secondary structure includes four short double-helical elements and three loops (D, anti-codon, and T loops). Further hydrogen bonds mediate the characteristic L-shaped molecular structure. tRNAs have two regions of fundamental functional importance: the anti-codon, which is responsible for specific mRNA codon recognition, and the 3' end, to which the tRNAs corresponding amino acid is attached (by aminoacyl-tRNA synthetases). tRNAs cope with the degeneracy of the genetic code in two manners: having more than one tRNA (with a specific anti-codon) for a particular amino acid; and 'wobble' base-pairing, i.e. permitting non-standard base-pairing at the 3rd anti-codon position. RNAcentral also lists the same sequence under 2 other names. Lineage: Archaea; Thermoproteati; Nitrososphaerota; Nitrososphaeria. The record is from RNAcentral.